RNAcentral lists this unclassified non-coding RNA (253 nucleotides) under uncultured Parcubacteria group bacterium. RNAcentral's name for it is "contains 16S-23S intergenic spacer region". It matches the Rfam family "Bacterial small subunit ribosomal RNA", at positions 524 to 776 of the family's 1533-position model. The record is from RNAcentral.
UACGAGUGCCUCAAGCGUUAUCCGGAAUCAUUGGGCGUAAAGGAUGUGUAGGUGGUCAUGUUAGUCUCUCGUUAAAUUCUUCGGCUUAACCGGGGGCAUGCGAGGGAAACGGCAUGACUAGAGGAUGCAAGGGGUCUGCGGAACUCAUAGUGUAGCGGUGAAAUGCGUUGAUAUUAUGGGGAACACCAAAAGCGAAGGCAGCAGACUAGGGCACUCCUGACACUGAGACAUGAAAGCGUGGGUAGCGAAUGGG